Long non-coding RNA from Dermochelys coriacea (leatherback sea turtle), 462 nucleotides. RefSeq lists it as uncharacterized. The record is from RefSeq and is a predicted model, not a curated record. The transcript has 3 exons. NCBI's taxonomy places the organism in Eukaryota, Metazoa, Chordata, Testudines, Dermochelyidae.
UAUCAAGCUCAGAAGGAGUAACUUCAUUAAUGAUUUUCCCUCUGUAACACUGAUAGAGAGAUAUGCACAGUUGUUUGUCACCCACCCGCCCCGGGUAUUAAUACAUGCUCUGGGUUAACUAAUAAGUAAAAAGUGAUUUUAUUAAAUACAAAAAUUAGGAUUUAAGUGGUUCCAAGUAAUAACAGACAGAACAAAGUGAAUUACCAAGAAAAAUAACAUAAAACACACAAGUCUAAACCUAAUACAGUAAGAAAGUGAUUACAGAUGAAAUCUCACCCUCAGAGAUGUUUCAGUAAGCUUCUUUUACAGACUAGUCUUCUAGUCUGGGUUCAGCAAUCACUCAUACCCCCAGUUACUGUCCCUUGUUCCAGUUUCUUUCAGGUAUCCUUUGGGGGUGGAAAGGCUAUCUCUUGAGCCAGCUGAAGAAAAAAUGGAGGGGUCUCCCAGGGGCUUAAAUAGACU